This 433-nucleotide ribosomal RNA is filed under the name uncultured bacterium. Its description in RNAcentral is "partial 16S ribosomal RNA". It matches the Rfam family "Bacterial small subunit ribosomal RNA", at positions 29 to 507 of the family's 1533-position model. The record is from RNAcentral.
AACGAACGCUGGCGGCAUGCCUAACACAUGCAAGUCGAACGAGACCUUCGGGUCUAGUUGCGCACGGGUGCGUAACGCGGGGGAACCUGCCCUUAGGUUCGGAAUAACUCCCCGAAAGGGGUGCUAAUACCGGAUAAUGUCUUCGGACCAAAGAUUUAUCGCCUUUGGAUGGGCCCGCGUUGGAUUAGCUAGUUGGUAGGGUAAAAGCCUACCAAGGCGACGAUCCAUAGCUGGUCUGAGAGGAUGAUCAGCCACACUGGGACUGAGACACGGCCCAGACUCCUACGGGAGGCAGCAGUGGGGAAUAUUGGACAAUGGGCGAAAGCCUGAUCCAGCAAUGCCGCGUGAGUGAUGAAGGCCUUAGGGUUGUAAAGCUCUUUUACCCGGGAUGAUAAUGACAGUACCGGGAGAAUAAGCUCCGGCUAACUCCGUG